Molecule: ribosomal RNA, 137 nt
Filed under: Nitrososphaerota archaeon
Lineage: Archaea; Thermoproteati; Nitrososphaerota
Source: RNAcentral
ACAGCCGGCCAUAGCAUACGGGUCCGACCUGGACUCAUUCCGAACCCAGACUCGAAAGAGGGGGAGAAGUCAAACCGUAUGUCGCCAAGGUGCUAGUGAGGUGCGAGAGCCCUCGUGAAGCUUUGGUGCCGGCGCCU